RNAcentral lists this ribosomal RNA (1364 nucleotides) under uncultured bacterium. Its description in RNAcentral is "bacterial SSU rRNA". It matches the Rfam family "Bacterial small subunit ribosomal RNA", at positions 28 to 1381 of the family's 1533-position model. The record is from RNAcentral.
AUUGAACGCUGGCGGCAGGCUUAACACAUGCAAGUCGAGCGGUAGCACAAGAGAGCUUGCUCUCUGGGUGACGAGCGGCGGACGGGUGAGUAAUGUCUGGGAAACUGCCUGAUGGAGGGGGGAUAACUACUGGAAACGGUAGCUAAUACCGCAUAACGUCGCAAGACCAAAGAGGGGGACCUUCGGGCCUCUUGCCAUCAGAUGUGCCCAGAUGGGAUUAGCUAGUAGGUGGGGUAAUGGCUCACCUAGGCGACGAUCCCUAGCUGGUCUGAGAGGAUGACCAGCCACACUGGAACUGAGACACGGUCCAGACUCCUACGGGAGGCAGCAGUGGGGAAUAUUGCACAAUGGGCGCAAGCCUGAUGCAGCCAUGCCGCGUGUGUGAAGAAGGCCUUCGGGUUGUAAAGCACUUUCAGCGAGGAGGAAGGUGGUGAACUUAAUACGUUCAUCAAUUGACGUUACUCGCAGAAGAAGCACCGGCUAACUCCGUGCCAGCAGCCGCGGUAAUACGGAGGGUGCAAGCGUUAAUCGGAAUUACUGGGCGUAAAGCGCACGCAGGCGGUUUGUUAAGUCAGAUGUGAAAUCCCCGGGCUCAACCUGGGAACUGCAUUUGAAACUGGCAAGCUAGAGUCUCGUAGAGGGGGGUAGAAUUCCAGGUGUAGCGGUGAAAUGCGUAGAGAUCUGGAGGAAUACCGGUGGCGAAGGCGGCCCCCUGGACGAAGACUGACGCUCAGGUGCGAAAGCGUGGGGAGCAAACAGGAUUAGAUACCCUGGUAGUCCACGCUGUAAACGAUGUCGAUUUGGAGGUUGUGCCCUUGAGGCGUGGCUUCCGGAGCUAACGCGUUAAAUCGACCGCCUGGGGAGUACGGCCGCAAGGUUAAAACUCAAAUGAAUUGACGGGGGCCCGCACAAGCGGUGGAGCAUGUGGUUUAAUUCGAUGCAACGCGAAGAACCUUACCUACUCUUGACAUCCAGAGAACUUUCCAGAGAUGGAUUGGUGCCUUCGGGAACUCUGAGACAGGUGCUGCAUGGCUGUCGUCAGCUCGUGUUGUGAAAUGUUGGGUUAAGUCCCGCAACGAGCGCAACCCUUAUCCUUUGUUGCCAGCGGUUCGGCCGGGAACUCAAAGGAGACUGCCAGUGAUAAACUGGAGGAAGGUGGGGAUGACGUCGAGUCAUCAUGGCCCUUACGAGUAGGGCUACACACGUGCUACAAUGGCAUAUACAAAGAGAAGCGACCUCGCGAGAGCAAGCGGACCUCAUAAAGUAUGUCGUAGUCCGGAUUGGAGUCUGCAACUCGACUCCAUGAAGUCGGAAUCGCUAGUAAUCGUAGAUCAGAAUGCUACGGUGAAUACGUUCCCGGGCCU